RNAcentral lists this unclassified non-coding RNA (571 nucleotides) under Hevea brasiliensis (rubber tree). The record is from RNAcentral. Lineage: Eukaryota; Viridiplantae; Streptophyta; Magnoliopsida; Malpighiales; Euphorbiaceae.
AUUCGCUUAGAGUGCCAAGAAAUUCUCCAUGCACAGCUCUGUUUUAACAUCUUGAUUCAAAUACAUCAUUAGUUCCACUUGAAACUUCAUUUAAACUUGAAUCUGAAUUAUUAUUCGUAGUGUAACUAUUUGAGCACAAACUUAAUUUGUCUACUGAAACAGAGGCGUUCACUAUUUCAGAUGGAAAAUUAAGUAGUGCCUUAGCACCUCGCAUUCUAAAAGCCGCUCUAUCAUAAGCUAACGCAGCUUCUUCAGCAGUUUCGAACGUACCUAGCCAUACUCUCGCACCAUGUCUAGCCGAAUCGCGAAUUUCCGCAGCGUAUUUCCCCCACGGACGACGUCGUACUCCUCUGUAUUUCUUGCCUAUGCACUGUAAUGGACGAAGAAUAUUAUUUCUAGGGAGUAAUUGAUUUCGUUGGGGUAAAUAAGGAAUAUUUAGAGCAUUAGCUUCAUUAAGAACUUCAUAUAAUACCAUCUCUUGUGAGUCAUUCUCAUUAAGAGGUAAAUCACUUUGAGGAGUUGGAACCAUAGCUUUUAUUAGAGGGGAUUUUGGUUAAUUUGUUGGGGGAAA